This 708-nucleotide ribosomal RNA is filed under the name Triticum aestivum (bread wheat). RNAcentral's name for it is "partial small subunit ribosomal RNA". The record is from RNAcentral. Lineage: Eukaryota; Viridiplantae; Streptophyta; Magnoliopsida; Poales; Poaceae.
AUGAAGUGGAGGCAACUCGCGGGCCUCCUAGGGGGCCUGGUCCAGUUCUCCCCCACCGCCUCCUCUGCUCGAUAUGGCCUCCAAAAAAAGGCAGGCGAUGCUCUGAUUCAGCUAUAUACUCAUUUCAUCUCUGAUUUUGAGAGGAAGAUCAAUCUUCUUAAAUUUGCUCACUUCGCGGUAGUAGUUUCACGCCAGUAUUCAGAUAAUGAUGCUGGUAUAAGCUAUCUCGAAGGCGUAAUUUUGAAGCUGCGUGAUACCAAGGAAUCACGGGUUGAAGAGCCCAUUCUGUAUGUGAAGAUGCAGAUUGCAAGUUUUCUUCUUGAGAAAGGGAAUCAAAAGGAGUGUAAGAAACUGGUACACGAGGGUAAAACCACUUUGGAUAGCAUGGGCGAUGUUGAUCCUUCAGUACAUUCGACCUAUUAUUGGUUAUGUUCUCAGUACCAUAAAGUGUGUCAUGACUAUUCUGAAUUUUAUAAAAAUGCUCUUCUCUAUCUUGCAUACACAACAGCGGAGUCACAUUCAGAACCAUUCAAACAGAACCUGGCAUUUGACCUCUCACUUGUUGCUUUAUUGGGUGACAACAUAUACAACAUCAGGGAGUUGCUUGCCCAUCCAAUUGGAUUGGUGGCAGCGAGAUCCAUGAGGAGCACGAGGCGGUGCAGCAAGAUGGGCAAAGAAGGUGUGGCAACAGGGUGGGCAAGAAGAUGA